This 234-nucleotide ribosomal RNA is filed under the name uncultured bacterium. RNAcentral describes it as "partial 16S ribosomal RNA". It matches the Rfam family "Bacterial small subunit ribosomal RNA", at positions 104 to 334 of the family's 1533-position model. The record is from RNAcentral.
CGGGGUGGAGUAACGCGUGGGUAACCGUGCCUCAUACAGGGGGAUAACAGUUAGAAAUGGCUGCUAAUACCGCAUAAGCACACAGUGUUGCAUGACACAGUGUGAAAAACUCCGGUGGUAUGAGAUGGACCCGCGUCUGAUUAGCUAGUUGGUGGGGUAACGGCCUACCAAGGCGACGAUCAGUAGCCGACCUGAGAGGGUGACCGGCCACAUUGGGACUGAGACACGGCCCAA